GCGCCGGUAGCUCAGUUGGCAGAGCAGUGGAACGGUACCUCACAGCCCCGGGUUCAAAUCCCGGUCGACGCU
Non-coding RNA from Phthorimaea operculella (potato tuberworm), 72 nucleotides. The record is from the annotation of a GenBank genome assembly. Lineage: Eukaryota; Metazoa; Arthropoda; Insecta; Lepidoptera; Gelechiidae.